UCUAUAAAUGUUCAUCUAAAUUUGUCUGUUCAACAAAAUGCUUACAGACCCGUAAUGCCUGCAGAUGUUGCUGCUUCUGUGGCUGCAAUGCGCUCUAGCUAUGGGCAACACCCAUACUUGGUUGGUGGAGUAGGCAAUUCAGUUAGCUCAGGAUCUCAUGCAACUUUAAUGUAUCACUCCCAAACAUCGUUCCCUAUUAGUGCUAGUGGUAACAUUCAACAUGUUGCUGCCCCUGUGCAACAACA
Medicago truncatula (barrel medic) is the source of this 245-nucleotide long non-coding RNA. RefSeq lists it as uncharacterized. Lineage: Eukaryota; Viridiplantae; Streptophyta; Magnoliopsida; Fabales; Fabaceae. The record is from RefSeq and is a predicted model, not a curated record. The transcript is spliced from 3 exons.